This 503-nucleotide ribosomal RNA is filed under the name uncultured bacterium. RNAcentral describes it as "partial 16S ribosomal RNA". It matches the Rfam family "Bacterial small subunit ribosomal RNA", at positions 30 to 523 of the family's 1533-position model. The record is from RNAcentral.
AUUGAACGCUGGCGGCAGGCUUAACACAUGCAAGUCGAGCGGGGUGAUGGUGCUUGCACUAUCACUUAGCGGCGGACGGGUGAGUAAUGCUUAGGAAUCUGCCUAUUAGUGGGGGACAACAUCUCGAAAGGGAUGCUAAUACCGCAUACGUCCUACGGGAGAAAGCAGGGGAUCACUUGUGACCUUGCGCUAAUAGAUGAGCCUAAGUCGGAUUAGCUAGUUGGUGGGGUAAAGGCCUACCAAGGCGACGAUCUGUAGCGGGUCUGAGAGGAUGAUCCGCCACACUGGAACUGAGACACGGCCCAGACUCCUACGGGAGGUAGCAGUGGGGAAUAUUGGACAAUGGGGGGAACCCUGAUCCAGCCAUACCGCGUGUGUGAAGAAGGCCUUAUGGUUGUAAAGCACUUUAAGCGAGGAGGAGGCUCUUUUGGUUAAUACCCAAGAUGAGUGGACGUUACUCGCAGAAUAAGCACCGGCUAACUCUGUGCCAGCCGCCGCGGUAA